UUCUGGGAUCACUUCACAAGCAUAACCAGGGAUGGCAGAAUGGAAGCUUUGAAUUAGAUAUGAGACUGGAAUUUUAAUAUGCACUGGAUUGAAUUCUAAUUUGUUAAUUCUAAACAAAAACCAUAUUUAGAAAGUUCUCAAAUCUCUCCAAGAUGACAUUCAAGGAUGGGAAAGGGAAUUCAAGUGAUGUGGGCUGAGCAUAGCGACUGAAAAACGAUAAAGGCCAUUUCAUUUUUAUAGCCUCAAAAAACUGCUUUCACAUUGAAUGUGGAAUUAUGAAGUUAGAUCGAAGUAAUGGAGAUGAUUUUGUAAGGAAAGCAGAAAGAACGCUAACAGAUAUUGCACAGACGUUAAUAGCUGAAUGAGAACAUCUGAAAGUCCAUCUCCGAUUUCCUUUCAUCGGCACUAACUCAGUUUGACAGUCCGGACCCGACAGAACUAUAUAUCACAACAUGACCUAGAGUUGGCCAGACGUUUAAAUGCUCACCAGCCCUGAACUCACAAGGCUGUUUUUAACCUCCGGCUUGUUUGUAGAUUGCUGUUCAAGUGCCUGACAUUUGGGUGUUCAUGGAGUGCUUUGAUUGGCUGAAGCAUGGGGUUUUUUAAUAAUAUGAGCUGUUAGUCUAAACAAUCGUUUCUAAGCAAAACCCUUAAAUUUAUUCUUUAAAAUACUUCAUUUUAUCUUAAUGGACAAGACACUAUUUGAGGAUACAUGGUUCCUGCUUUUGAGCAAUCUAUCUUCUAGUGAGGAAUACGCAUGUAUACACCCCAACAUAAUCUGUGAGUGCUGUGUUAUAAAGAGGAAUGAGGUUGAGGAAUAAGGGACACCACCAACAUCCCAACGGCUUGGAAUAAAAUUCAAAUUCCUUCUUUAGCAUCUGAGGCCCACAUCAGUGAUUUUCCUCUUUGGCUGAAGAUCAGAACCCAACUCACGAACUCCAGAAUCUGAUGCCUAAACUCCAUUGCCGGAGAUUCUGGUUUAUUUCAUGCCAAGGAGGCUUCACUAGUGAGCGAUGAGAGUGUGAGCCAUCACAGUGGGUCUGUCCUCCUUGCUGAUCAUUCAGGUUGAGUGAGUGUCACAGUCCCGGCAAGUGAGACUUGAGUGAAGUUCUGCAGGGGACCCUCUGUGCUGCUGUGACAUCUCUAUUCCCAAGUCUGCAGAAAUCAAAGCGAUCUAAAUGUAAAGAGGUAUCUUGAUAUCCAAUUCUGAACAAAUGGAUCGUUUAUUUGCCUUCAAAGUCACCUUUGCCAUUGUCAAACCGAAGAAGAGAAAAAUUAUCACUUAGCUGGAAGUGUCUGUUUGAUAUUAUAGGAGGGUCUAAUGGUCAAAGGUUUAAACUUGGAAAGCAAUCCUAUUGCAAUGCAGCUGUUGCUGAUUUUAUGAGAAGACCUGGUCAAAGGGAAGAAGGAAUGAAAUGGCAUAGCUGUAAAAAAAAAAAAAGAAUCAAAUGGACAUGUAAUUCAGUUUGGCUGGUAUGUCUAAGUUUGGGAUCAUAGUGAUUAUUGCAGGAAGGAAUCAAUAAA
Molecule: long non-coding RNA, 1524 nt
Organism: Callithrix jacchus (white-tufted-ear marmoset)
Lineage: Eukaryota; Metazoa; Chordata; Mammalia; Primates; Cebidae
Source: RefSeq, a predicted model, not a curated record